Molecule: ribosomal RNA, 484 nt
Filed under: uncultured bacterium
Lineage: Bacteria
Description: partial 16S ribosomal RNA
Rfam family: Bacterial small subunit ribosomal RNA
Source: RNAcentral
AUUGAACGCUGGCGGCAUGCUUUACACAUGCGAGUCGAACGGCAGCGCGGGCUUCGGCCUGGCGGCGAGUGGCGAACGGGUGAGUAAUGCAUCGGAACGUGCCCAGUAGUGGGGGAUAGCCCGGCGAAAGCCGGAUUAAUACCGCAUACGACCUGAGGGUGAAAGCGGGGGACCGAAAGGCCUCGCGCUAUUGGAGCGGCCGUUGUCGGAUUAGCUAGUUGGUGGGGUAAAGGCUUACCAAGGCGACGAUCCGUAGCUGGUCUGAGAGGACGACCAGCCACACUGGGACUGAGACACGGCCCAGACUCCUACGGGAGGCAGCAGUGGGGAAUUUUGGACAAUGGGGGCAACCCUGAUCCAGCCAUGCCGCGUGCGGGAAGAAGGCCUUCGGGUUGUAAACCGCUUUUGUUCGGGAAGAAAUCCUCUGGGCUAAUACCCCGGGGGGAUGACGGUACCGGAAGAAUAAGCACCGGCUAACUACGUG